GUGAUUAGGCGGUACAUGGAGCAGUUACAGCUCACCGAGGACAUGACCCUAGAUAGGAAGGUCUGGAGGACGCGAAUUAGGGCAGAGGACUAGGGCCAGUUUGAGUCGCUAGUGUAGAGGGAAUUACUUGGUGGGGGUUUUUUCUUGUUAGGAGUCCGUGUUCCAUGUUUUAUUAUAAAUCUGUGUGCUUUCCUCUGUUUUAUAUUACUUAUGGGUGUCGUAUUUAUGUUAUGUAAUCUUGUGUUGUGCUUUACUAUGUGUUGUGUGGUAUCUCGUGUCUUGAGCCGGGGGUCUAUCGGAAACAGCCUUUCUACUUCUUCAGAGGUAGAGGUAUGGAUUGCGUACAUCUUACCCCCCCAGACCCCACUAGGUGGGAAUACACUGGGUUUGUUGUUGUUGUUGUUGUUGUUGGU
RNAcentral lists this long non-coding RNA (413 nucleotides) under Capsicum annuum. RNAcentral's name for it is "long non-coding RNA (CANN_LNC005250)". Lineage: Eukaryota; Viridiplantae; Streptophyta; Magnoliopsida; Solanales; Solanaceae. The record is from RNAcentral.